Molecule: non-coding RNA, 300 nt
Organism: Vicia faba (fava bean)
Lineage: Eukaryota; Viridiplantae; Streptophyta; Magnoliopsida; Fabales; Fabaceae
Source: the annotation of a GenBank genome assembly
AUGAGCGUGGUUGUCAUCGGGAUCUCAAGGAUGAGGGUGUGGUCUUGCGGGAUCAGUGAUGGAUGUGAGCAUGAGAGGGGUUGUCGGUGUGAUGCGGUGGAGAUUGGACUGCAUGGUCGUAAGGAUAACGUCACAGUGGUGGGAUGUGUGUUCGUCGGUGUCGGAGGGAGUCGUUGGGCUGAGUUUUACGUGGAGGUCUGGAUAGCGCGGACUAGAUCUGUGGCGGCGAGUGGUUGUUUUUACAGGUUUAUUUUAUUUGUCUGCAACUUUGUGUUUACAGGUUUAGUGUUUAUAUGGUGA